Molecule: long non-coding RNA, 1996 nt
Organism: Triticum aestivum (bread wheat)
Lineage: Eukaryota; Viridiplantae; Streptophyta; Magnoliopsida; Poales; Poaceae
Exons: 7
Source: RefSeq, a predicted model, not a curated record
GCAACGCCCCCGACUCCACGCAACGCCCCCAACUCCAUGUCCCGUCAAAAAAGUCCCCCAACUACAUGUCGGCCACCCCAAAUCCCGGCGGCGGCGGCCGCCGCCGGAAGUGGACGAGCGCCACACGGGCGCGCUGGGGCUCUACCUGCACCCGGACUGCCGGACAUCGACCUCAAGAAGCUGUGUUGGCUCAUCCUCAAGGCCAAGCUCGUGCCAUGCCUCUCAAUGGAUCGAUAGAUAGAGCGUCGCGGGUGGAGAGGCGGCCGGCCGGUGGAAGGGGCAGCCUCUCGAUUAUUGGUUCUCGGAGGUGCGACAAAGCCGAGGAAGAAGCCGGGCGCCUGAUUCCCCGCGGUUCGUGCUGUUCCUCUCCUCCAUGCCCCCUCUGCAACCUCUCCUCACCAUUCAUGGCCAUCGGAAGGACCGCAGGAGGCAGAGCAGGGCGGCUCGAGCCUGCGAUGAGCUUCUCGACUGGAGCUCGCCGUCGGUGGCGAGUGCGGGUGGCCAGCUCGCGCCGUCUCAACACUCUGCCUCUCCCUCACAUACGACUCGCGUCGUCGCUGCGUUCCCCAUUCUUUUCCCGUGCUUUUCGAUUGGCCCGGCGGUGAGCUGCAGUGCCGCUAGCUCAUCGGCGACGGCUACGACGCCAUCUGUGCCGUCCCUUGGUCCCUUCCCCCCGGCAGCAACCUUCUUGACGAACGACAGGCGACGGUAGAAAGAGCCAUUCCAUGACGAAUCUCUGAUGAGAGGGCAGCAAAAUGUGAUCAAUCAAUGGAGACAAAGUAUUUGUCCAAUUGUUUGCAAGGGUGGCUGUAUGAUCUCCGCAGAUUGGCCCUUCUUUGUUCUGCCGGUGGAGAUUCAGUGUAUCACUGCAAAUUCCUUACACCGGCAGUGUAUCAUAGCAAGUUCCUUACACUAGCAAAUUCUGUGUUUUUUGUAUUUUUGUCGAUGCAAGCCUGUUCUUCGACUAUAAAAGGAGCAGAGAUUUCUUUCUUGUCAAGUCUAAUCCUUUUUUGAUGCAUUGCAGAUUGCUAUCAAACUCUCAAAAAGGAAAAUCAGCUUUAUUCUAAUUUGGCAAAGCUUGGAGGAUAUUUUUACAGGUUCAACGCUUGCUUUAUUGCUUUCUUACCUUCCGUUCUUCAAGACAAUAUUUUCCUAGCAGUGCUCGAUAACUUUAAAUCCAUAUUUUUGUUCUUUGCAUUAUCAUAAAACGGUGUUGUUCUAUCUUUUUGUUUUUUGAUUGAUCAUCAGCAACGACAAUGCAACCUACAUGUCCUACUUUUACUACUGAGCUUACCAUCAGAACCACAGCCCAAUGAGAACAUUCUAAACUAACUGAAGAUGGCUUCCUUCCCUUUUAUGGUACAUGCUUGGGAAUACUAAUUAUAGCUGACAGAAAAUGUGCUUUUUUAGCAUGAAGAUAAGAUGAUGGGAAGGGAUGAUCUUCAUGAGCCUCAGUGGUACUAUCAUAUUAUCAUAACUGCUGCAAAGUUCAUAUAAUGAUCCCUGUUUCAGACUCAGAUCAAAGGAACAAGCUGAUCAAUACGUUUCAGCCAUGGAAUACUGCGUCAAGAUAAAAGAUCGAGUUGAGCAUACUGCGAUGUUUUGACAGGAGAUUCCGUUAGCUUUCAGACAAAGUAAUCCAGUAGAUAGGUCAACAGAUUUUGAAGGAACAACAAGCCUUCAAUGAACUCAGCCGGUAAUAGAAGUAGCAAUUCUCUCAACACAUGCUCCACAGCACGACGACGGCGAGCAUCCGGAGAAAUCAUCUGCAGUAAUACAUCCUAAAGAUUGGUGAUGGAGAUGCUACCCAGUGCAUGAGUGGAUUCAUAGCCAUGGACAUUCCUACUCCCUAUGGACCUAUCCGGUAAAAUUAUGCGCGGCUUAUGUUCUCAGUGUUGGAAAUAUGCCCUAGAGGCAAUAAUAAAAUGGUUAUUAUUAUAUUUCCUUGUUCAUGAUAAUUGUCUAUUAUUCAUGCUAUAAUUGUGUUAUCCGGAAA